Molecule: transfer RNA, 87 nt
Filed under: Escherichia coli
Lineage: Bacteria; Pseudomonadati; Pseudomonadota; Gammaproteobacteria; Enterobacterales; Enterobacteriaceae
Also listed under: 1 other name
Description: tRNA-Leu
Rfam family: tRNA
About the family: Transfer RNA (tRNA) molecules are approximately 80 nucleotides in length.
Source: RNAcentral
GCGAAGGUGGCGGAAUUGGUAGACGCGCUAGCUUCAGGUGUUAGUGUUCUUACGGAGGUGGGGGUUCAAGUCCCCCCCCUCGCACCA